CCCCAGCUCUCGAAUUUUCUCUCUCUCUCUUUCUGUCUCAAAAAUAAAUAAACAUUUUUAAAAAAUAGAGGGAUGCACCCUUACACCAUGAUGGGAGAAGCCUGGGGAGUGAGGUUCUGGUGGGGACAUUGGUGGGGAUCAGAGGACAGUGCUGAGUGAGAACCAGACAGCCGAGUGGGGAGAUGUCUAGAGAGGGCUGUUCCCUGGUGGAGCGUUGGUUCUGAGGUCUCUGCAGGCAAGCGGGGCAGGUGCUGGGGGAGGAGGCAUUACAAAGCAGGAGAGAACAAAGGCCAAGUCGCUCCCAAGGGGACACAGUGGCCUAUGUCUGUCCCCACUGCACCUAGAGGAGAAGCCAGUGGCCUGUACCCACACCUGGCCCGGACGUGGAGGUGGCCCAGCACAGUGGUGGCGACUUCCCCUUUGCCCUGAUCUCCUGCACGUUUCUCCCUUGGCCUGCCCACCCAUUUUUCCUCCCUGCAGACUGCCCUCUCCUCCCAUGAAAGUGAGUCUGACAAGCGAGGGACACAUGGUCGUGCUUGUCAGCGGACGGGCUUCCUCCCAGGGCUGACUCUCCACGCCACGCUGUCCUUUUCACGCUUUCCUCCCCUCAUCUCAUUGCUUGUUCUCUGGCUUCUCUUCCCUGUGAGAGUGGGAGCCCUUCCUGGGAGGACAGGGCCCAGUCCAUCCUGUUUAUGUCUGUACCUCCGGGAUCCGGCCUAGCACCCGGCACCAAGUGCACACGUGGGACAGUGGAUAAACGAACGGGUGAACUUGUGGCUCUGCUGUUCUAGAAACCAUCUCAAGUAGCUUUGGUGACAACGUGUAUUUUUCGGCGCUCGCUGCGAGGAAUAAAUAGCUUUGUAGAUGGACCGUAGUGGAUUAGACCUGCCAGCCAUUUUCAGUGGUGACUUUGUCCUGAGAUGGAACUGUUGGAAUGAGGAGGGCCGGAUUCAAUUCCAAGAUUCAGAAAAUAGUAUCACCGUGGCUUAAACCAGAUAGGAGUUUAUUUCUGUCUCACAUAAACUGAGCCCGGGGGGAAGCGAUCCGCGGAAUCCUUAGGGCCCCGCCUUCCCCGACCCUCCACUUGGCCCUUGCUUGGCCCUUGACUCUCUUUCUCCUGGUCCAAGAUGGCAGCACCCGCGUUUCAGGCGGCAGGCAGAAAGAGGGGGAAAAGCAGAGAACAAAACAAAAAUGCAGCCACAGGACACUUCUGCUUACAUUCCGUUAUCUAGAACUUCUAUGGCUGCAGAAGAGGCUGGGAUGUAACCUCUAUUCUGGGCGGCCAUGUGCCCGCCCAGGUAGAGAGUCUCCAAAGAUGGUUUUGUCAGGCCACCAGCAAUCUUUGCCACAGUUGCGUUUGGGGAGAGGUCGCGUGUCUUCCUUCUCACUCCCUCUUUCACGUGCAGGCUGGGAACCAAGUGGAAGGUCUCAGGCCCCGUGCUCCUGUGCGGGGUCAUCGUUAGCUUUUCCUAGGAGCCGGGCAAGCUGGCCGCAGCGUGCUGUGAUUGGGUUGUCUGUGUUGAAUGGCCCGAGGUUGUCCACAAGGCAAAUAUCGAAUUGCAGGGAGUAGGCUGCACUUCAAUGCACUGGGCCAAAAAACCUAAGAAACACACAAACCAAAAAGCCACCCUAAACCCAGGGGAAAUCUGUCAGGGCUUAGAGGCAGCGGUGAGCAGGGAGGAAGGCAGUAUGAGUUCAUGGUGGGGCCACGGUUUUGCUGCGUCGUGAUUGAAAGAGCAUUUACUAUAGGGUGGGAAUUUUAAAUCUCUUUUUAAAAGCAUGAGUCUCCGGGGAGUGUGUCGGAGGCGGGAACCGCUCCCCGGAGAGCAGUUUUGUAACUACUUGUAGCUGAGUUUAUUUUGUUUUACUGAAGUAUGCCAGGCUGGACAUUUCCUCCUGUUCUCAUGCUUCUGGACUCAAGAAUGCAGAGAGCACGCUGGCCUCCGGAAAGCAUCAUCAGCAGGAUGUGAACCAGGGGCUCCCCCUUCGUGUCCAAAGGGCGAAUCACCUUGCUCCUGAGCCGUCGGUGUGGGUGCGGACUGGGGGCGUCGGGGAGAAGCAGGAGCUACCGGUAAUGGAAGUGUGAUGGGCUGGCGUCUCAGCCAAAGUACACUUGAACGUGAACUGCUGGUGUUUAUUCAAGUCGACUUCCUCACGUCCUAUGUCCUGAGGGCCUGGGCCAUCCCCGUUACUGCCAUUGCUGCUAUGGUGCAGGAUCCAGCGCGCUCAAGGUGUGUGCCUCUGGGCUGGGCUGAUGCCCAGGGCCGGGCUUCCUUUCUGGAGCUGCGUCAGUUUCCCUCUCAGCCCUCACACUCCUUGGCGGCCCAGAGCGACAAAGGCAGGAGUGCGUGCAGUGUAAGUCAAUCAACGAAGCGAACAAAAUCCAGAGAAACAGCACCUGCCCUCGACUGAGCGCAUGCUGUGUUCUAGGUCCUGAAUGCCCGAGAUCUCAGCACCUCCUCAAGGCGGGGAUCGUCUUCUCUCACUUCGGGGGUCAGGAGAACAGGGUCGUACCAGUUGGGUGAUGUGCCUCCGGGUCUGUGUGUGAUGGGGUUUGGGGGUCAGGUGGGAUCCUCAAGCUGGGGAGCAGCCUAGCCCCAUGAAUGCUGCCAAGGGGCAUCUCUGUGGGAGAGAGGAGGCACUCUCCCUCUCUCGCGUGGGGAGCUCUGUGGGCUGUGGGGCGGAGCGACCUCCCACGUGGCAGCACCUGUUCCCUCCACAAACCGGCCGGCACCGCCUUCCUGCCCUUGGGAGCAGACACUGCGGUUGACAAAGGUCGUCCGGCUUAUCCAGCCUCUGUUUUCCUGUGAUAUUGAUGUUUAUGCCAAGUGGGAGAGAGACCUCAAAGUGUUUAGGCUUUAUUGUUCUGCUGAGCUAUUCAUGGGCCCAUGUAUUUCCUACCGCAUAAACCCAGACUGGACUUCGUGGACGGUGAUUAUACUAAACCAAGACCACAGCGACCCCACCUUACUCCCAGGUUAUGGUCAAAUAUGUGUGGAUGUUUCUGACAAGCUAUGUGUGAGACGAGUGGAGGCCCAGGAGUCGGAUCCAACUGUGUUUGUGGCUGGUACAGAGGAAGGUAAUGAAUGAGGUGCGGGCAGCAUAGAGGGGUCGAAGCCAGAGCACAAUCCGUGGUCGGUAAAGUGCGUUCGGUCAACAAAUAUUUACGGGAGAUCUCUGUGUCGGGCACUGAGCCGUGUGCUGGGGUGCUUUACUCGGCAAGAUGCUCAGCAUGGUCACGAAUUCUGUCAUUGUGGCAAAUGUGCUCACAUAAGUUUGUUCUGUCGACGGCAGUGAGCUCAAGGAUUUAAAAAAUCCACAGUACGACCCACAGACCUUCAUGUCUUGCAGGCGAUAGAGAAACCGAGGUGGCUCCAAAUCAGCUUUCUGCUGCUGCUUCGGGAUCUGAUACCAGCUUGGACGGUGGCCAUGGGAACCGUUUUCUGACGUGUCACGGCCAGGAGUUGGCAGUUACCCACUUUCAGGUGCAGCGACGGUGUCCCCACCUGCAGGGAUGGUGAGCGCAUCCAAUCCCGGGGCUCUGAUCAGGUGAGAAGUCCAAUGAAACCCAAACUUGUCCUCUGGACAAGGCUGCUCCGUGAAAUAGAGCUGCCCCUCAGUGAGUCUGGCUGUCUCUCCGGGCCCCUCGCCAAGCCUCAGAAGCACCUUAACUUGAAGCCCUGCUGAUUCAAAGCACCGCCUUCUGUUCUGGGCAAGCCUUGGCCAGGAAAAGUCAGCUUGCAGGGACCACGCCUAAACAAAGGAGCCAAAGAUACACCCAAAAUCGAAGCCACAUCCCGUGUUCCCCAAAGAUGAUGGCUUUUCUGUUCCCCGCAGCUCAUUACGAGGGCCCCUCACCGGACAAUGGACCUCUCUGGGCCACCCAGCCGCGCAGGGGAUAAGACAGCUUCUGAAAUACAGAAUAUUUUUGGAGCUCUGAUCCCGACUCCCACAUCCGCAGCCCCUUUUGGACUAGACAGCCUCCUCCUCGGAUUCUCGGUGGCUCAUCACAUCCCUCCAUCUGUGACCAGAAACGGGCUGGGGGAACGAGUAGACAAGAAGGCCAUCGCCGACCAGGCCCACAGCUUCCCAGAGGGAAGGCGGUUGGAAGCACAGCGGUCUGAGUAUCAGCCGUCGCAGAGCAGGGGCUGAGGCAGGCGAUGGAGGAAGACGGGAGGUGAAGCUGGCAUCAGAGCCUUCCCUGGCGGAGCGAUUCCCGAAGACACUGCUGAUGAACUGCAGCCUGUCUGGGAGCCCCCCCGCCCCGGGCCCCCCGCCCCCUCCUCUUCUGUGCAGAGAAAGGUAGCCGGGGAGCUGUUGCAUGGCUGGGGUGCCGUCUGCCCCGACCCCUAUCGUUUCGCCUCUUGGCUUGGGUCCCAGGCCCCACGGUGGGCCGGUGGCUGGCUAAGGCCACAGAUGAGCUGAGUAGCUACACGGUACGGCUUGGGAGCAUUUCAGCAUGGCGGGAAGGGAGUGUGCUUUGCAGGCGAAUGGCCCCAGCGUCCUGGCCCAGCCCUCUCUCCUUUGAAAUCCAACUGCAUUCUGGCACUUUGCAUUACUUAGGGUAACACGGGCAGCAGUAACAAAGAACCCCUCCGAUGUCACAGCCUUAGCACUGAUAUUUACGUCCAGUUCAGGACAGUGGGUGACAGUCCUCAGGUGGCGAUUCAGGAGCCCAGGCUCGCCGACCCCUAGGGCCUCGGAGAUCUCCGCGCGGCGGGCGAGAGAAAGCGCAGGUUACAUGAGCCUCAAACGACACACCUCACUUCUACUCACAUUUCAUUGUCGGGAGGAUGGGGAAACGUGAUCCGAGGGAGAACUUCGUGCUGUGGCCGGGAGGGUGCCAGUGUCGCUGUCACAAUAAUGGGGUAAACUUUCAAAGCUUCGGUUUCCUCGUCUGUAAACAGAGACGUGGAACCAACAGCCGAGAGUUACCAGGAAGACGAGAGCUGAUGUCUGCGAUGCGACUCAGCCAGUGCCUGACGUGGAUCGGGGGCUGUGAUUACAGCCAGAGGGACAGGGGCUGUCUCAUCAGCUGGAGCCGGGGCGAUCCAAGCUCAUGCCCACGUGUCCAUCCUGUGCUUCUGCAGAAAGAGGUUUCUUACGUGAGACUGUUAUGCAACGUGCGUGCUGGAUCGUGGUUAAUAUGGGAAUGCUGGUCUCCGUCGUGAUGAUUAUUAGGUAACGUGCAUUACGUACUGUGAUUAUGUUGUAAAUGCAAGUGAACCGCUCACUCUACCGAACGUCCCGUGGACUAAAAUUCUGGGGGCAUCGACGCAAGCUUUGGACUAUUUUCCCAUUGUUUGCUAUCUUUGAAAAGGCCUUUGUUAUCAGAGCGGUAGAGAUCAUUGCAAAAAUUGCCAACACACAGAUGGCUCUAAAGUGGAACUUAAAAGCCUUCUCCCCACACUCGGUGCCCCCUCUCUUACCGUUGUUGGAUAAGCAACUAUCGUUAACGCUUUCGGUAAAUCCUUCCAGAAACACUCUACGUUUAUACACAAGCAUAUUUAAGUCCUCUCCUUUUGCACAGAAGCAAAUCAUGCUAACGCGUUAUUCCGCAACUCCUUUCUCUUUUUCUCUGCUUCCGCAUCUGCUCUAACUCAAUAGUAUUCCAUCGUGGAAUGAGCCACAGUUUCUUUAACCAGCGACGAGAGGUUGAGUGAGAAGUAAAAAGGCAUCAAACCCCUCUUUUCUCCGUGUGAGUUGAUGGCUCACUCCCCACGCUGACCUCCCCACCAGAUUUCAGGUGUCCUCUGAAAUCACAGUCCCAUCCGGGUGCACCCAGGGUCCACGUGCCUCCUACCGGGGCAUCCCCUCAACAUCCCAGGAUGUGAAUGGCUGUGGUCCAAAAAAUGAGAAUAAGGGCCUGGGGGUGGAGCAAGCUGUCAAAAGUCUUCAGGAACUCCUUCCUUGUGCCCAUAGCCUCUAGCUGGCUUAAAAAGGUAAAACGCUCUUUCUUGUCCCCUCCGGGGCAUGGGGUACGCUUGGUUCAACUUCAGAGAUCUGGGCCCAGAGAUUGGUGAUCCGAAAAGGAAUCCUACACUGUCGCUCAGGUCAUUUGGAUGAAGACUUCUUAAUGGAGGGAGAAAACCAAGUGGUCCUUGCAACUUUGCGGGUUUUCACUGGGCAUUUGGAGAUCUCGCUGGUUCUGUGUUCAGCGAGGCUGUGAAAAUGAUUCUGUGCACACAUCACUUGUCCAAGCCAUGGGGACCCAACCGGCUUCGGCCCUAGAAGACUAUCUUCCAGUUUUCAAAUGUUCGUGUGCCACCUUCUGAUUCCCUCUUUUCCAUCUCUGCAGACGGCAAAGCCUUGGAGUCACAGGUUGGGUGUGUUUAUAUUCUUUGGAAUAAACACAUCACAAUAAAUAAACUCCUUUAAAAAAAAAAAGGCAUGACCGU
This is a long non-coding RNA of Herpailurus yagouaroundi (jaguarundi), 6398 nucleotides long. RefSeq lists it as uncharacterized. The transcript has 11 exons. The record is from RefSeq and is a predicted model, not a curated record. NCBI's taxonomy places the organism in Eukaryota, Metazoa, Chordata, Mammalia, Carnivora, Felidae.